This 253-nucleotide ribosomal RNA is filed under the name uncultured bacterium. RNAcentral describes it as "partial 16S ribosomal RNA". It matches the Rfam family "Bacterial small subunit ribosomal RNA", at positions 524 to 776 of the family's 1533-position model. The record is from RNAcentral.
UACGUAGGGGGCUAGCGUUGCUCGGAAUUACUGGGCGUAAAGCGCACGUAGGCGGUCUUUUAAGUCGGGGGUGAAAUCCUGGAGCUCAACUCCAGAACUGCCUUCGAUACUGGAAGACUUGAGUCCGGGAGAGGUGAGUGGAACUGCGAGUGUAGAGGUGAAAUUCGUAGAUAUUAGCUAGAACACCAGUGGCGAAGGCGGCCAACUGGUCCGGUACUGACGCUGAGGUGCGAAAGCGUGGGGAGCAAACAGG